AUAUUUGUUAAGUUCAGUCCUCCAACAGACUUAGGCAUACAAACUUUCUCCCAAGCCACAUUGCUUUCUUAGUGAUGUUAACAGACCCUGACCAAAUGAAUGUUCUGCAUAUAGUCUCCAGCAGCUUAACAACUUUAGAUGGCAUGAUAAAUAAUUGAGACCAGUAAGCUUGAACUCCAAGAAUAACUGAUUGAACCAAUUGACAUCUGCCUGCAUAUGAUAA
Molecule: long non-coding RNA, 223 nt
Filed under: Nicotiana benthamiana
Lineage: Eukaryota; Viridiplantae; Streptophyta; Magnoliopsida; Solanales; Solanaceae
Description: long non-coding RNA (NBEN_LNC000728)
Source: RNAcentral